Molecule: transfer RNA, 85 nt
Filed under: Felis catus (domestic cat)
Lineage: Eukaryota; Metazoa; Chordata; Mammalia; Carnivora; Felidae
Also listed under: 4 other names
Rfam family: tRNA
About the family: Transfer RNA (tRNA) molecules are approximately 80 nucleotides in length. Their secondary structure includes four short double-helical elements and three loops (D, anti-codon, and T loops).
Source: Rfam by way of RNAcentral
GCCUGGGUGGCUCAGUUGGUUAAGCGUCUGACUUCAGCUCAGGUCAUGAUCUCACAGUUCGUGAGUUCAAGCCCCGCAUCAGGCU